AGAUGUUAAAAAGUAGGCCUGGGCAAACGGUUUGGACCGAAGAAAACCGAACCGACCGAACCGAAUUUUUCGGUUUCGGUUUUCCUUCACUUCAAAAUAGAAAACCGAUCGGCUGAUUGUUAAAUUUAGAUCGGUUAUCUAAUCGGUUCGGUUCGGCACACGGUAACCGAUCGGUUAACCGCAAACCAAGAGACCUCUAACCCUAAGACUCUUAUCUCUCUCCCUCGCAGCCUCUCAUUUUUUUCUCUCACGACUUCACUCUCCUUCUCUCACGAUUUCGAAGGAGAAAAAAAAGAGAAACACCAAAUCUCUUCUUAAUCUUCGAUCUCCCUCAUUCAUCUCUAACCUCUGUUUCUUGUAACUCGAUUCUUAAAUUUUCAAAGCCCCAGAUCGAUUCGAAGGAAACUAUCAAAUCGACUCGAACCUAAACCAUCAAAGUCUCGAAAUUGUAAGAUGUCUUCUGAAGAUCACAUCGACAUGGACUCUGAGCCAAUUCCUCAAGAAUCUGCUGGCACUGGAAACAAAAGGAAAAGGGCUACAACAUCCAGUUCUUCCGCUUUGCCACCGAAACCGAAGAAGAAAAUGCCUAAAAGAGCAGAGGUGUGGCAGCACUUUACUCAGACAGAUGAUGAUCUCACGAAGAGCACUUGUAAGUAUUGUUUAACAGAAAUUGGUUGUGAUACGGUACUAGUAGGAACUAGUCCGAUGAAGAGUCACUUAAAGAGGUGUAAGGCAUUCAAGGAUUUUGUUGAAAGGGGGAAGCAACAAGUGUUAAGUAGUGAUAAUAGUGGUAAUAUGAAGUUUGUGAAGUAUGAUCCUUUGCAGUUUAGGAGAUUAGUUAAUCAGUUAGUGGUAGUCAAUGAGUUAUCAUUCUCAUUUGUUGAAUCAGAGGGAUGGAGGCAGUUUUGUGCUGAUAUCUUGCCUCUUUACCAGACAUUCUCCAGAAGGACGUGUGGUAGAGAUAUUGUUGCAAUGUAUCUGGAAGAGAAAGCUAAAUUGAAGACUUUGUUUAGUGUUGAGAAGAAGAGAGUUUCUCUAACCACAGAUAUAUGGGUGUCUCCUAGAACCUCAUACAACUACAUGGUGGUCACGGGUCAUUGGAUUGAUGUUAAUUGGAAAAUGCAGAAGAGAAUCUUGAGCUUUAAGGUAAUCACUGACCACAAAGGAGACACGAUUUCAAAGUUUCUGCUUGACACCUUAGAUGAUUAGGGAAUAGAGAAGGUUUUUACUGUGACUGUUGACAAUGCAAAGGGUAAUGACAAGGCUCUUAGGGUAUUUAGGGAUGAAUUGAGGUGGAGAGGAGGUGAAUCUUUAGUGGCAGAUGGUGAUCUCAUUCAUAUGAGAUGUUGUGCACACAUUCUGAAUCUAAUUGUUGGGGAUGGUCUUAAAAAGGCUAACAAAAGUAUAGUUGCUGUAAGGAAUGCAGUGAAGUAUGUGCGCAGUUCAUAUACAAGGUUGAAGUCAUUUGUUUUGAAGUUGGAGACAGGAAAGAUAGCUAGAGGCAGCUUGCCUUUAGAUUGUGUUACAAGGUGGAAUUCAACAUAUCUUAUGUUGAGUUCUGCCCUUAAGUUAAAGAUUGGAUUUGAGAAGUUGUCUUCCGAGGACAAGCUUUACUGUGAAUAUUUCGAUGAAGAAGAUGAUGCUGAUGAUGAGAAUAGUAAGACAAAGAGAGUUGGACCACCUACCUCUAUUGAUUGGGAUGAAGUUCAAAGGUUAGUAACAUUUCUGAAGAUCUUUUACAAGAGUACUGCCACGUUUUCUGCUUCUAAAUCAGUAACUUCCACAAUCUGUUACAAAGAGAUUGUGAACAUUGAGAAGCAUUUGAUCACCAAGUGAGGCAACGCUAGUAAAGAUAUUAGGGAUCAAGCUCAUCUGAUGAGGGAUAAAUUUGAGAAAUACUGGGAUGGUUUGUUGAAUAUGAAUUUGCUGGUGAUCAUUGCAUCUAUCUUUGAUCCACGAAAUAAGAUGCAAUUUGCUUCUCUGUGCUUUGAGCAGCUGUAUGGUAAAGGGACUAUAGAGACUAGGCAGCUAGAAGCUUCUGUUUCUAGUGUAUUAAAAAAGUUGUAUGACGAAUAUAGUUUACGACUUAGCCCAACAGAUGAUGGAGCUGGAAACAGAAGUGAUCAUGGAGAUUCUGAGCAGCCAAGUGUAGCAUGUGGUAUGUCAGAUGAUGAGGAUGAUUAUGUGGGGGUUGAUGUCCUUUAUGACAAUAUGGUAGACCAAAGGAGAUCAGAAGAGUGUUUUAGUGAGUUAGAUAUAUACUUGGCAGAGAAAACUGAGUUGAAAGUGGACAACAGCUUGGGGUUGCCUUAUGAUGUUUUAGAUUGGUGGAGGUGUAAUACGUCAAAGUUCCCCAUAUUAUCUCAACUUGCUAGUGAUGUUCUAGCAAUUCAAGUAUCCUCUGUGGCUUCAGAAUAUGCUUUUAGCACUAGUGGGAGAGUAUUAGAUCCUUAUAGGAGUUCUUUAACUCCGUAUAUGAUCGAGGUUUUGCUAUGUCUGCAACAAUGGUUGCGGUGUUCUUAUCAGUCUCAAGCAAAUGUUGCAAACUUGGUGCAAAUGCUGGAAGAAGAGAAUUUUCUUGACUCGCUUGAUUCUUGGAAUUCAAUAGCACCUUCUCAGUGAUCUUCAUCUUGGAAUGAAAUGGAAUGUAUGCAUCGUUGUUUCUUGCCUUGAUAGGAACCAGAAUUUGAAGCCUUGCGCUUGGUAUUUUGCUAUUUUCAGAAGUUGCACUUAUGACUCUCCUCUUUAUUUCAAUCAGACCUUAAUUUGGAUGUUUUGGGUUAUGUUAUGCUUCUCUUAUGAACUUUUACUGCUUAGACUUGAAGUAGAAACUGGUUUGUAAUAUUAUUAUCGUUUUUUGUUGCA
Molecule: RNA transcript, 2865 nt
Organism: Arabidopsis lyrata subsp. lyrata
Lineage: Eukaryota; Viridiplantae; Streptophyta; Magnoliopsida; Brassicales; Brassicaceae
Gene name: zinc finger BED domain-containing protein RICESLEEPER 2
Exons: 4
Source: RefSeq, a predicted model, not a curated record